Molecule: long non-coding RNA, 1480 nt
Filed under: Olea europaea (common olive)
Lineage: Eukaryota; Viridiplantae; Streptophyta; Magnoliopsida; Lamiales; Oleaceae
Description: long non-coding RNA (OEUR_LNC006563)
Source: RNAcentral
UCCGGAGGAGAUACAGGGGUUCUCUGCUCCGCCAAGUUUAACCUUAGUGGCCGGCCUUCAAGCUCCUAAUUGCAUUGCAUAGAAAAGUAGAGGUAUCAACAAGGAUAAGCACAUAAGGUCAUGGAAAAUUAAUUACAAUUUUUAAGUCAAACAUACCACUCCAUUCAUGGCAUUUAGUGCAGAUUCUACUUCUUCAGCUGAUGCAAAACUUAUAAACCCAAAACCUCGAGAUCUUCCGGAGUCCCGGUCAUAGAUUACCUUAGCACUCAGGAAUCCUGGCUGAUCUGCAAAAGCUUCUCUUAGGCCUUGAGACGUGAGGUUCCAGCUGAGGUUCCCGGCAUAUAUCUUAUGGGGGCUAUCUACAAAACCUUGAUAGCUGCUUCUUAUCUUUGGAGCCAUUACUUCCCUUUCACCUCCCCUAGGCACCUCAGGGAAGUUCACCUUAGCAGUUCGUCCUCCAAUUUGCUUUUGACAGAGCAGUUGAAAGCAGGAGAUACAGGUGCUCUCUGCUCCGCCAAGUUUAACCUUAGUGGCCGGCCUUCAAGCUCCUAAUUGCAUUGCAUAGAAAAGUAGAGGUAUCAACAAGGAUAAGCACAGAAGGUCAUGGAAAAUUAAUUACAAUUUUUAAGUCAAACAUACCACUCCAUUCAUGGCAUUUAGUGCAGAUUCUACUUCUUCAGCUGAUGCAAAACUUAUAAACCCAAAACCUCGAGAUCUUCCGGAGUCCCGGUCAUAGAUUACCUUAGCACUCAGGAAUCCUGGCUGAUCUGCAAAAGCUUCUCUUAGGCCUUGAGACGUGAGGUUCCAGCUGAGGUUCCCGGCAUAUAUCUUAUGGGGGCUAUCUACAAAACCUUGAUAGCUGCUUCUUAUCUUUGGAGCCAUUACUUCCCUUUCACCUCCCCUAGGCACCUCAGGGAAGUUCACCUUAGCAGUUCGUCCUCCAAUUUGCUUUUGACAGAGCAGUUGAAAGCAUAAUUGUAAGUCGCAAUCCGAAAACAUAUAAACUGAUUAUUUUUGGGUAGAAGCGAGGAAAAAAGAAAGCAAUUAUUUCAUUUUCGGGAUUGGCAUCUAUUAAACAAAGGUCAGAAACCACAUUAACACUCACAGAAAUGCCAGCCCUGACUUCAAUUCUGAAAGCCACUAUGUUAACUUACUCUGUUGCAAGGAGACUUCAACAAGGGUGACGUGUCUGUAUCAGUCACGUGUCAAAUAUCGACACUUCUCGGAUAUAUUCAUUUUUCUUUUAUCAGAUAUAUUAUACAUCCUUAACUCAAAGUUAUUAUUAAAUAAAAAAUACGUACUCAUAUUUAAAAGAUUUCAACAAAAAAAAUUAAUAAUCAGUAUAAAACUAAAUUUAAACUAUAUAAAGGAAGGCCCCGUGAGUUCAAGAAUAACUCAAAGAAAUAUUCCAACUAAGCUAUAGAAAACACAUUAUUUGUGUCAUCACAAGCGAGCACAGUAUCAGUAUGACUAAGAAAAG